RNAcentral lists this ribosomal RNA (220 nucleotides) under uncultured bacterium. Its description in RNAcentral is "partial 16S ribosomal RNA". It matches the Rfam family "Bacterial small subunit ribosomal RNA", at positions 524 to 740 of the family's 1533-position model. The record is from RNAcentral.
UACGAAGGGGACUAGCGUUGUUCGGAAUCACUGGGCGUAAAGCGCACGUAGGCGGAUAUGUCAGUCAGGGGUGAAAGUCCCGGGGCUCAACCUCGGGAACUGCCUUUGAUACAGCAUAUCUUGGAGUCCGAUAGAGGUGGGUGGAAUUCCUAGUGUAGAGGUGAAAUUCGUAGAGAUCGGGAAGAACAUCGGUGGCGAAGGCGGCCAGCUGGGCCAUUGC